RNAcentral lists this ribosomal RNA (442 nucleotides) under uncultured bacterium. RNAcentral describes it as "bacterial SSU rRNA". It matches the Rfam family "Bacterial small subunit ribosomal RNA", at positions 29 to 518 of the family's 1533-position model. The record is from RNAcentral.
AACGAACGCUGGCGGCAUGCCUAACACAUGCAAGUCGAACAAGACCUUCGGGUCUAGUGGCGCACGGGUGCGUAACGCGUGGGAACCUGCCUUUAGGUUCGGAAUAACUCAGAGAAAUUUGAGCUAAUACCGGAUAAUGUCUUCGGACCAAAGAUUUAUCGCCUUUAGAUGGGCCCGCGUUGGAUUAGCUAGUUGGUGGGGUAAAGGCCUACCAAGGCGACGAUCCAUAGCUGGUCUGAGAGGAUGAUCAGCCACACUGGGACUGAGACACGGCCUAGACUCCUACGGGAGGCAGCAGUGGGGAAUAUUGGACAAUGGGCGAAAGCCUGAUCCAGCAAUGCCGCGUGAGUGAUGAAGGCCUUAGGUUGUAAGCUCUUUUACCCGAGAUGAUAAUGACAGUAUCGGGAGAAUAAGCUCCGGCUAACUCCGUGCCAGCAGCCGC